GGCACGCCUUAUACAUGCAAGUCGAACGAAGUAGCAAUACUUAGUGGCAGACGGGUGAGUAACAUGUGGGUAUCUUCCCUUUGGUGAGGAAUAACACGAGGAAACUUGUGCUAAUACCUCAUAAGUCUUUACGGAGAAAGCUUUAUGCGCCAAUGGAUGAGCCCGCACUUGAUUAGUUUGUUGGUGGGGUAAUGGCCUACCAAGACUUUGAUCAAUAGCUGAUUUGAGAGGAUGAUCAGCCACAUUGGGACUGAGACACGGCCCAAACUCCUACGGGAGGCAGCAGUAAGGAAUCUUGCACAAUGGAGGAAACUCUGAUGCAGCGAUGCCGCGUGAGUGAAGAAGGCCUUUGGGUUGUAAAGCUCUUUCGUCGGGGAAGAAAAUGACUGUACCCGAAUAAGAAGGUCCGGCUAACUUCGUGCCAGCAGCCGCGGUAAUACGAAGGGACCUAGCGUAGUUCGGAAUUACUGGGCUUAAAGAGUUCGUAGGUGGUUAAAAAAGUUGGUAGUGAAAUCCCAGAGCUUAACUCUGGAACUGCUAUCAAAACUUUUUAGCUAGAGUAUGAUAGAGGAAAGCAGAAUUUCUAGUGUAGAGGUGAAAUUCGUAGAUAUUAGAAAGAAUACCAAUUGCGAAGGCAGCUUUCUGGAUCAUCACUGACGCUGAGGAACGAAAGCAUGGGUAGCGAAGAGGAUUAGAUACCCUCGUAGUCCAUGCUGUAAACGAUGUGUGUUAGACGUUGGAAAUUUAUUUUCAGUGUCGCAGCGAAAGCGAUAAACACACCGCCUGGGGAGUACG
This 795-nucleotide ribosomal RNA is filed under the name uncultured Pelagibacteraceae bacterium. RNAcentral's name for it is "bacterial SSU rRNA". It matches the Rfam family "Bacterial small subunit ribosomal RNA", at positions 41 to 884 of the family's 1533-position model. Lineage: Bacteria; Pseudomonadati; Pseudomonadota; Alphaproteobacteria; Candidatus Pelagibacterales; Candidatus Pelagibacteraceae. The record is from RNAcentral.